GGAUCCCAUCAGAACUCCGCAGUUAAGCGUGCUUGGGCGAGAGUAGUACUAGGAUGGGUGACCUCCUGGGAAGUCCUUGUGUUGCACCUCU
RNAcentral lists this ribosomal RNA (91 nucleotides) under Lathyrus oleraceus (garden pea). Lineage: Eukaryota; Viridiplantae; Streptophyta; Magnoliopsida; Fabales; Fabaceae. The record is from RNAcentral.